ACAUCUUUUGCAAUGCAGUGUUUACAAAUAUAUCGAGUUUAUAUUUUCUCCGGUUUUAAACAACGCAAGCCAGAACAUUUUUGACCGAAUUUGAAUACCUGACAGGCUUUUCGUCAAUGGAAACAUAAAUUUUUUUAAAUAACUGCAAUUUUAAGUAACUUGCGGAUGUUUGGGUGCGUAUGUAAAAAACUCUAACUACAGGGAAUAUAAAUCGCUUCAAAUACGCUUUCAGUCAAAGGAAUUUUUUAACCUUUGGAUCGUCCAUAAAUUA
Long non-coding RNA from Hydra vulgaris (swiftwater hydra), 271 nucleotides. RefSeq lists it as uncharacterized. The record is from RefSeq and is a predicted model, not a curated record. NCBI's taxonomy places the organism in Eukaryota, Metazoa, Cnidaria, Hydrozoa, Anthoathecata, Hydridae.